GAUGAACGCUGGCGGCGUGCCUAAUACAUGCGAGUCGAGCGAACAGACGAGGAGCUUGCUCCUCUGACGUUAGCGGCGGACGGGUGAGUAACACGUGGAUAACCUACCUAUAAGACUGGGAUAACUUCGGGAAACCGGAGCUAAUACCGGAUAAUAUAUUGAACCGCAUGGUUCAAUAGUGAAAGACGGUUUUGCUGUCACUUAUAGAUGGAUCCGCGCCGCAUUAGCUAGUUGGUAAGGUAACGGCUUACCAAGGCAACGAUGCGUAGCCGACCUGAGAGGGUGGUCGGCCACACUGGAACUGAGACACGGUCCAGGCUCCUACGGGAGGCAGCAGUAGGGAAUCUUCCGCAAUGGGCGAAAGCCUGACGGAGCGACGCCGCGUGAGUGAUGAAGGUCUUCGGAUCGUAAAACUCUGUUAUUAGGGAAGAACAAAUGUGUAAGUAACUAUGCACGUCUUGACGGUACCUAAUCAGAAAGCCACGGCUAACUACGUG
RNAcentral lists this ribosomal RNA (497 nucleotides) under uncultured bacterium. Its description in RNAcentral is "partial 16S ribosomal RNA". It matches the Rfam family "Bacterial small subunit ribosomal RNA", at positions 28 to 507 of the family's 1533-position model. The record is from RNAcentral.